RNAcentral lists this ribosomal RNA (253 nucleotides) under uncultured bacterium. RNAcentral's name for it is "partial 16S ribosomal RNA". It matches the Rfam family "Bacterial small subunit ribosomal RNA", at positions 524 to 776 of the family's 1533-position model. The record is from RNAcentral.
UACGAAGGGUGCAAGCGUUACUCGGAAUUACUGGGCGUAAAGGGUGCGUAGGUGGUUGUUUAAGUCUGCUGUGAAAGCCCCGGGCUCAACCUGGGAAUGGCAGUGGAUACUGGACAGCUAGAGUGCGGUAGAGGGUAGUGGAAUUCCCGGUGUAGCAGUGAAAUGCGUAGAGAUCAGCAGGAACACCCGUGGCGAAGGCGGCUUCCUGGGCCGCGCCUGACGCUGAGACGCGAAAGCGUGGGGAGCGAACGGG